This 459-nucleotide ribosomal RNA is filed under the name uncultured bacterium. RNAcentral describes it as "partial 16S ribosomal RNA". It matches the Rfam family "Bacterial small subunit ribosomal RNA", at positions 338 to 795 of the family's 1533-position model. The record is from RNAcentral.
CCUACGGGAGGCAGCAGUGAGGAAUAUUGGUCAAUGGGCGGGAGCCUGAACCAGCCAAGCCGCGUGAGGGAAGAAGGUACAGCGUAUCGUAAACCUCUUUUGUCAGGGAACAAAGGCGGGGACUAGUCCCCGGAUGAGGGUACCUGAAGAAAAAGCAUCGGCAAACCCCGUGCCAGCAGCCGCGGUAAUACGGAGGAUGCGAGCGUUAUCCGGAUUUAUUGGGGUGAAAGGGUGCGCAGGCGGCCUGUUAAGUCAGCGGGAAAAGCCCGGGGCUCAACCCCGGCGAGCCGUUGAAACUGGCGGGCUGGAGUUGGAGAGAGGUGCGCAGAAUGCGCGGUGUAGCGGUGAAAUGCUUAGAGAUCGCGCAGAACCCCGAUUGCGAAGGCAGCGUACCGGCUCCACACUGACGCUGAGGCACGAAAGCGUGGGUAUCGAACAGGAUUAGAUACCCCUGUAGUC